Molecule: ribosomal RNA, 253 nt
Filed under: uncultured bacterium
Lineage: Bacteria
Description: partial 16S ribosomal RNA
Rfam family: Bacterial small subunit ribosomal RNA
Source: RNAcentral
UACAGAGGUCUCAAGCGUUGUUCGGAUUCAUUGGGCGUAAAGGGUGCGUAGGUGGCGCGCUAAGUCAGGUGUGAAAUUUCGGAGCUUAACUCCGAAACUGCAUUUGAUACUGGCGUGCUUGAGGACUGGAGAGGAGACUGGAAUUCACGGUGUAGCAGUGAAAUGCGUAGAUAUCGUGAGGAAGACCAGUGGCGAAGGCGGGUCUCUGGACAGUGCCUGACACUGAGGCACGAAGGCCAGGGGAGCAAACGGG